Long non-coding RNA from Fundulus heteroclitus (mummichog), 405 nucleotides. RefSeq lists it as uncharacterized. The record is from RefSeq and is a predicted model, not a curated record. Lineage: Eukaryota; Metazoa; Chordata; Actinopteri; Cyprinodontiformes; Fundulidae. The transcript has 3 exons.
GGCAGCUGCAAAUCCAGAAUUCCAAUAACUAAAGCCUGAAAGGACAGAAGAAGCUGAACCUGAAACCUUUUAAGGCAGUCUCCUUACAUCCCUCAAAACAAUGCAAAAAAAAAAAUGAGCCUUGGGUUGGGACCUGGAGGCCCCACAAGCCGAAAGGGCCCAUAGCUGCACAAUAUGGAAGCCCUGGGCCUGUAUAUAUGUUACCUGGACUAACAGUUUAAGGUGCAAUUCAACAUGACCCAACUAAACCCAAAGCACCAGCAUUCUCCAUUACGUCACGUCGUAAAGUGGCAAAUGCCGACUUUUAAAAAUUCCCACCCAAUUAUACCAGAUACGGCAAAGAUGGGACGCUGGCAUUUUCAGUCCAUGGCCGUCUAAAGCCACUUGCACCAUUCUGUACUCCUG